Molecule: ribosomal RNA, 426 nt
Filed under: uncultured Rhodocyclaceae bacterium
Lineage: Bacteria; Pseudomonadati; Pseudomonadota; Betaproteobacteria; Rhodocyclales; Rhodocyclaceae
Description: bacterial SSU rRNA
Rfam family: Bacterial small subunit ribosomal RNA
Source: RNAcentral
GGGGAAUUUUGGACAAUGGGGGCAACCCUGAUCCAGCCAUGCCGCGUGAGUGAAGAAGGCCUUCGGGUUGUAAACCUCUGUCAGAAGGGAAGAAACCGCACCGUGCUAAUCAGCGGUGCCUUGACGGUACCUUCAAAGGAAGCACCGGCUAACUACGUGCCAGCAGCCGCGGUAAUACGUAGGGUGCGAGCGUUAAUCGGAAUUACUGGGCGUAAAGCGUGCGCAGGCGGUUUUGUAAGACAGGCGUGAAAUCCCCGGGCUCAACCUGGGAACGGCGCUGGUGACUGCAAGACUAGAGUACGGCAGAGGGGGGUGGAAUUCCACGUGUAGCAGUGAAAUGCGUAGAGAUGUGGAGGAACACCAAUGGCGAAGGCAGCCCCCUGGGUCGAUACUGACGCUCAUGCACGAAAGCGUGGGGAGCAAACA